UAGGGAAUCUUCCAUAAUGGACGCAAGUCUGAUGGAGCAACGCCGCGUGAGUGAAGAAGAUCUUCGGAUCGUAAAACUCUGUUGUUAGAGAAGAACACGAGUGAGAGUAACUGUUCAUUCGAUGACGGUAUCUAACCAGCAAGUCACGGCUAACUACGUGCCAG
This 164-nucleotide ribosomal RNA is filed under the name uncultured bacterium. RNAcentral describes it as "partial 16S rRNA". It matches the Rfam family "Bacterial small subunit ribosomal RNA", at positions 355 to 511 of the family's 1533-position model. The record is from RNAcentral.